GGGGAAUAUUGGACAAGGGGCAAAAGCCUGAUCAAGCCAUGCCGCGUUUGUGAAGAAGGUCUUCGAAUUUUAAACCACUUUAAGUGGGGAGGAAGGGUUUUUGGUUAAUAUCCAGGAUUUUUGAGGUUACCGCCAGAAUAAGCACCGGCUACUUUCGUGCCAGCAGCCGCGGUAAUACGAAGGGUGCAAGCGUUAAUCGGAAUUACUGGGCGUAAAGCGCGCGUAGGUGGUUCGUUAAGUUGGAUGUGAAAGCCCCGGGCUCAACCUGGGAACUGCAUCCAAAACUGGCGAGCUAGAGUACGGUAGAGGGUGGUGGAAUUUCCUGUGUAGCGGUGAAAUGCGUAGAUAUAGGAAGGAACACCAGUGGCGAAGGCGACCACCUGGACUGAUACUGACACUGAGGUGCGAAAGCGUGGGGAGCAAACA
This 426-nucleotide ribosomal RNA is filed under the name uncultured Pseudomonadaceae bacterium. RNAcentral describes it as "bacterial SSU rRNA". It matches the Rfam family "Bacterial small subunit ribosomal RNA", at positions 356 to 774 of the family's 1533-position model. Lineage: Bacteria; Pseudomonadati; Pseudomonadota; Gammaproteobacteria; Pseudomonadales; Pseudomonadaceae. The record is from RNAcentral.